This 253-nucleotide ribosomal RNA is filed under the name uncultured bacterium. RNAcentral describes it as "partial 16S ribosomal RNA". It matches the Rfam family "Bacterial small subunit ribosomal RNA", at positions 524 to 776 of the family's 1533-position model. The record is from RNAcentral.
UACGGAGGGGGCUAGCGUUGUUCGGAAUUACUGGGCGUAAAGCGCGUGUAGGCGGUCCGGUAAGUCCGCUGUGAAAGUCGAGGGCUCAACCCUCGAAUGCCGGUGGAUACUGUCGGGCUUGAGUACGGGAGAGGCGAGUGGAAUUCCUGGUGUAGCGGUGAAAUGCGCAGAUAUCAGGAGGAACACCGGUGGCGAAGGCGGAUCUCUGGGCCAUUACUGACGCUGAGGAGCGAAAGCGUGGGGAGCGAACAGG